CCUACGGGUGGCAGCAGUGGGGAAUAUUGCACAAUGGGCGCAAGCCUGAUGCAGCGACGCCGCGUGGGGGAUGACGGCCUUCGGGUUGUAAACUCCUUUCGCUAGGGAAGAAGCCACUUGUGGUGACGGUACCUGGAUAAGAAGCACCGGCUAACUACGUGCCAGCAGCCGCGGUAAUACGUAGGGUGCGAGCGUUGUCCGGAAUUACUGGGCGUAAAGAGCUCGUAGGUGGUUUGUCGCGUCGUCUGUGAAAUCCCGGGGCUUAACUUCGGGCGUGCAGGCGAUACGGGCAUAACUAGAGUGCUGUAGGGGAGACUGGAAUUCCUGGUGUAGCGGUGAAAUGCGCAGAUAUCAGGAGGAACACCGAUGGCGAAGGCAGGUCUCUGGGCAGUUACUGACGCUGAGGAGCGAAAGCAUGGGUAGCGAACAGGAUUAGAUACCCGGGUAGUC
Molecule: ribosomal RNA, 450 nt
Filed under: uncultured Corynebacterium sp.
Lineage: Bacteria; Bacillati; Actinomycetota; Actinomycetes; Mycobacteriales; Corynebacteriaceae
Description: bacterial SSU rRNA
Rfam family: Bacterial small subunit ribosomal RNA
Source: RNAcentral